GCCUACGGGGGGCAGCAGUGAGGAAUAUUGGUCAAUGGGCUUACGCCUGAACCAGCCAAGUCGCGUGAGGGAAGACUGCCCUAUGGGUUGUAAACCUCUUUUGUCAGGGAGCAACCCCGGCUACGUGUAGCCGGACUGAGAGUACCUGAAGAAAAAGCAUCGGCUAACUCCGUGCCAGCAGCCGCGGUAAUACGGAGGAUGCGAGCGUUAUCCGGAUUUAUUGGGUUUAAAGGGUGCGUAGGCGGAAUGCCAAGUCAGCGGUAAAAUCGCGGGGCUCAACUUCGCUCCGCCGUUGAAACUGGCGU
RNAcentral lists this ribosomal RNA (305 nucleotides) under uncultured bacterium. Its description in RNAcentral is "bacterial SSU rRNA". It matches the Rfam family "Bacterial small subunit ribosomal RNA", at positions 337 to 639 of the family's 1533-position model. The record is from RNAcentral.